UGAGCUAAUACCGCAUAAUGCAGCGGCUCGACAUCGAGACAGUUGUUAAAGCGGGGGAUCGUAAGACCUCGCGCCUAAAGAGGAGCCUGCGGCAGAUUAGCUAGUUGGCAGGGUAAUGGCCUACCAAGGCGACGAUCUGUAACCGGCCUGAGAGGGCGGUCGGUCACACUGACACUUGAAUACGGGUCAGACUCCUACGGGAGGCAGCAGUCGGGAAUUUUGGGCAAUGGGCGCAAGCCUGACCCAGCAACGCCGCGUGAAGGAUGAAAUCCCUCGGGAUGUAAACUUCGCAAGAACGGGAAGAAUAAGUGAAAGCGAAUACCUUUCAUGAUGACGGUACUGUUUGUAAGCUCCGGCUAACUCCGUGCCAGCAGCCGCGGUAAUACGGGGGGAGCAAGCGUUGUUCGGAUUUACUGGGCGUAAAGGGCGCGUAGGCGGCCACGACAAGUCACUUGUGAAAUCUCCGGGCUUAACUCGGAACGGUCAAGUGAUACUGUCGGGCUAGAGUGCAGAAGGGGCAACUGGAAUUCUCGGUGUAGCGGUGAAAUGCGUAGAUAUCGAGAGGAACACCUGCGGCGAAGGCGGGUUGCUGGGCUGACACUGACGCUGAGGCGCGAAAGCCAGGGGAGCGAACG
RNAcentral lists this ribosomal RNA (635 nucleotides) under uncultured soil bacterium. Its description in RNAcentral is "bacterial SSU rRNA". It matches the Rfam family "Bacterial small subunit ribosomal RNA", at positions 159 to 774 of the family's 1533-position model. The record is from RNAcentral.